Molecule: ribosomal RNA, 783 nt
Filed under: uncultured bacterium
Lineage: Bacteria
Description: bacterial SSU rRNA
Rfam family: Bacterial small subunit ribosomal RNA
Source: RNAcentral
GAGUUUGAUCCUGGCUCAGGACGAACGCUGGCGGCGUGCCUAAUACAUGCAAGUCGAACACUUUUAUUUCCACUGGAGCUUGCUCCACCGGAAAUAAAAGAGUGGCGGACGGGUGAGUAACACGUGGGCAACCUGCCCGACAGAGGGGGAUAACAUUCGGAAACGGAUGCUAAUACCGCAUAGUUUCAGGGAUCGCAUGAUUCUUGAAGGAAAGGUGGCUUCGGCUACCACUAAUGGAUGGACCCGCGGCGUAUUAGCUAGUUGGUGAGGUAAUGGCUCACCAAGGCAAUGAUACGUAGCCGACCUGAGAGGGUGAUCGGCCACACUGGGACUGAGACACGGCCCAGACUCCUACGGGAGGCAGCAGUAGGGAAUCUUCCGCAAUGGACGAAAGUCUGACGGAGCAACGCCGCGUGAGUGAAGAAGGUUUUCGGAUCGUAAAACUCUGUUGUUAAAGAAGAACAAGGAUGAGAGUAACUGCUCAUCCCCUGACGGUAUUUAACCAGAAAGCCACGGCUAACUACGUGCCAGCAGCCGCGGUAAUACGUAGGUGGCAAGCGUUGUCCGGAUUUAUUGGGCGUAAAGCGAGCGCAGGCGGUUCUUUAAGUCUGAUGUGAAAGCCCCCGGCUCAACCGGGGAGGGUCAUUGGAAACUGGAGAACUUGAGUGCAGAAGAGGAGAGUGGAAUUCCACGUGUAGCGGUGAAAUGCGUAGAUAUGUGGAGGAACACCAGUGGCGAAGGCGACUCUCUGGUCUGUAACUGACGCUGAGGCUCGAAAGCGUG